RNAcentral lists this ribosomal RNA (460 nucleotides) under uncultured bacterium. RNAcentral describes it as "partial 16S ribosomal RNA". It matches the Rfam family "Bacterial small subunit ribosomal RNA", at positions 338 to 795 of the family's 1533-position model. The record is from RNAcentral.
CCUACGGGUGGCAGCAGUGAGGAAUAUUGGUCAAUGGGCGCGAGCCUGAACCAGCCAAGUAGCGUGAAGGAUGACUGCCCUACGGGGUGUAAACUUCUUUUAUAAAGGAAUAAAGUGAGGCACGUGUGCCUUUUUGUAUGUAGUUUAUGAAUAAGGAUCGGCUAACUCCGUGCCAGCAGCCGCGGUAAUACGGAGGAUCCGAGCGUUAUCCGGAUUUAUUGGGGUUAAAGGGAGCGUAGAUGGGUUGUUAAGUCAGUUGUGAAAGUUUGCGGCUCAACCGUAAAAUUGCAAUUGAUACUGGCAGCCUUGAGUACAGUUGAGGUAGCCGGACUUCGUGGUGUAGCGGUGCACUGCUUUGAUAUCACGCAGAACUCCGAUUGCGAAGGCAGCCUACUAAACUGCCACUGACAUUGCUGCUCGAAAGUGUGGGUAUCAAACAGGAUUAGAUACCCUAGUAGUC